CAGCAGCCGCGGUAAUACGAAGGGGGCUAGCGUUGCUCGGAAUGACUGGGCGUAAAGGGCGCGUAGGCGGCGGCCAAAGUCAGGCGUGAAAUUCCCGGGCUCAACCUGGGGGCUGCGUUUGAUACUUGGUUGCUUGAGUGGGGAAGAGGGUCGUGGAAUUCCCAGUGUAGAGGUGAAAUUCGUAGAUAUUGGGAAGAACACCGGUGGCGAAGGCGGCGACCUGGUCCUUUACUGACGCUGAGGCGCGAAAGCGUGGGGAGCAAACAGGAUUAGAUACCCGCGUAGUCCCUGUCUCUUAUAC
RNAcentral lists this ribosomal RNA (301 nucleotides) under uncultured bacterium. Its description in RNAcentral is "partial 16S ribosomal RNA". It matches the Rfam family "Bacterial small subunit ribosomal RNA", at positions 509 to 807 of the family's 1533-position model. The record is from RNAcentral.